This 253-nucleotide ribosomal RNA is filed under the name uncultured bacterium. Its description in RNAcentral is "partial 16S ribosomal RNA". It matches the Rfam family "Bacterial small subunit ribosomal RNA", at positions 524 to 776 of the family's 1533-position model. The record is from RNAcentral.
UACGUAGGGUGCAAGCGUUGUCCGGAAUUAUUGGGCGUAAAGAGCUCGUAGGCAGUCUGUCGCGUCUGCUGUGAAAACUCGGGGCUUAACUCCGGGCCUGCAGUGGGUACGGGCAGACUAGAGUGCGGUAGGGGAGACUGGAAUUCCUGGUGUAGCGGUGAAAUGCGCAGAUAUCAGGAGGAACACCGGUGGCGAAGGCGGCCUGCUGGGCAGUUGCUGACACUGAGGCGCGACAGCGUGGGGAGCAAACAGG